RNAcentral lists this transfer RNA (61 nucleotides) under Schleiferiaceae bacterium. Its description in RNAcentral is "tRNA-Asn". It matches the Rfam family "tRNA", at positions 14 to 63 of the family's 71-position model. Rfam says of the family: Transfer RNA (tRNA) molecules are approximately 80 nucleotides in length. Their secondary structure includes four short double-helical elements and three loops (D, anti-codon, and T loops). Lineage: Bacteria; Pseudomonadati; Bacteroidota; Flavobacteriia; Flavobacteriales; Schleiferiaceae. The record is from RNAcentral.
AGCAGUUGGUUAGAGCAUCUGACUGUUAAUCAGAGGGUCCUUGGUUCGAGCCCAAGAGGAG